This 3003-nucleotide ribosomal RNA is filed under the name Triticum aestivum (bread wheat). RNAcentral describes it as "partial small subunit ribosomal RNA". Lineage: Eukaryota; Viridiplantae; Streptophyta; Magnoliopsida; Poales; Poaceae. The record is from RNAcentral.
AUGGACGUCGUCCCUACGGCUCCAUCUCCAAAUAUUUACCGUCUCGACCUCGUGAGUUUCGGGCGCAUGGUCCUCGACCGUGGCCUCGUUCUCCCGGACGCCAAGGUGGGCAACAUCUAUCUCCCCGUCGACAAGUUCAAGCUCCUGCGCAUCGAUGACUGUAUUGUGCGUAAGAGCGUCAGCGACAUCAAGGUGAUGGACAGGAGCCACCUGUACACCGGACAGGUGGUCGCGUCCGCGUCCGACAUGGAAGGCCAGCUCGGCGUCAUCACCGGCGUCAACACCCUGCUCAACCUCGCCAAGCUCGAUAACAACGGCAUGGCGACCAAGAUCAUCAAGGGAGUGUCCCCGUCUGGCCUGCGGCGAGUCAGGAGCCUCAACCUCGGGGACUUUGUCGUGUCCGGUCCGUGGCUCGGCCGGGUCGUGGAGGUGUCGAUCGACAUUGAUGUGUUGUUUGCUGAUGGAGCAAUCUGCAGGGUCACCGACGCGGAGGCCGUGUCCAAGAACCUGGAAAGAGUGACUGACAGCUACACCAUGGUGAGCAUGCAUCGCCACCAAAUGAACAGUCGAUUCCACCAGGGGCAACACGUCAUCGGGUCGGAUGCUUGUUCAGUCUUCAAGGCGGCGCGGUGGCUUAAUGGCUAUUGGCAUCCUCAACGAGAAAUAGGAAGAAUCAUGAAGGUGGAGACGUCUGGUGUACUCGUCUACUGGGUUGCAUCGAUGCAUUGUGGCACCGACAAAGAGCUAGUGGAGGCAUCCGCUCCUCCGGCCUACCAGAACCCAGACGAUCUAACAUUCUUCUGCGCCUCGUACAAUUGCUGCUGGGGGCUUGCUGACCGUUGUUUUUUUCUUGAAACUAGUUCCACCGAAGGGGAUGCAAUUUCUGUUCCUGAUCAACACAAUGAUGAUGAUGAUAAUGAGGAGGAGGACGAGGACGAGGACGAGGAGGAAGAGGAGCAAUACAGUGCAUGUUCACAAGACAAUCAAGACGAGUGUGAAGCAUCAACCUCCCAGGUGGUACCACCCACAAAGCAGAAUGAUGUGAGGUUUUAUCGGAAGCAGCUACGGAAGGUCCGCUUUGAGGGACACAGAUGGGGCAAGCACCUGCAAGCAAUGAGACAUGUGGAGGUGGAGUUUCCCAUGGUCGUCGCCAACACUUGCACCACCGUUGACGUGUUGUGGCAGGACGGCACACGGCAGCAUGGCAGACCUUCAGCAACCCUCGUCCCGUUUGGGAUCGUGAAUGAGCAAGAGUUCUUCCCGGGACAGCAUGUUGUCGCCAACGUUCUUCCUACUAAUGCUGCCGUUGAUGCUACUGGUGAUCCUAAUGACAUGACAACUACUAGUGUCAAUAAUGACAAUAUUGCCCCCGGAACUAGACCAAUGCAGCGUGUGGGCAUCGUCAAGAGCCUGCAGUAUGAGGAUCAGACGGUUUGUGUCUCAUGGUUCAAGAAGAGAAGGCACCUUGACGAGGUUAAGGAGGUGGAGUGCGAUGACACCGUCAGUGCUUACGACCUAAAGAUAGACUCUAGCCACUCUGCUUACUACGGAGAUAUAGUCAUUCGUCUCCUACCAUCAGGAUCAACCGACAACGGUGAAAGCAUACCGUUGUUACAGGGAAACAAGAAGGAAAACGGCGUUGAUGCUGAUCUUUCGUGGGUGGGGCGUGUAGUUGAACUUCCUAAUGGGCACGUCCAAGUCAAGUGGGGUGAUGGUAGCAUGUCAACGGUAUUGCCCCAUGAGAUCGCCGUCAUCAAGGACAAGCACUACAUGGAGCUAUGGCUUGAAAUGGGCGACUGGGUAGAGGACGAUGGCACCGAUGAUGCACCUGAAGAAACGGCUGCUGCCAACACGGAAAUCAAUCUUCAGAAUCUAGAUAACGAUGUCGAUGGUGUCAACCUGGCAAUGUCGAGGGCAAGCCUUUUAGGUUUUUCAUUCCAGUCUUUCCUCCAAUUGACCAGCGACGUGGUGGCUCGAGGUAAAGGAUACUUGAUGAACUGGUGGCCCUGGUCGUCGUCCUUACCAAGCUCAGAGUUACCCGCACACACGAAUGAUGAUAGUAUCGGUGGUGCUGCAAUGGAGACCAGCGAUGCUGCCAUAGAUGUGACCAGCCAUGGUUUUGCCGAGGGAAUGAAGGAUGCAGAUGCUACCUGUUUCUGCGACGAACCGUUCUGCUUUCCAUGUUUUGAUGUAUUGCAGAUUAGCCCUUUGGAUCACCACUACCUUGACAGUACGGACAAGGAAAUGCAGGGCCCUAGUCGUGGGAAGACUUGGGCCAAAACAGUGCAAAAAGAAUGGAAAAUUCUGGAGAACGGCUUACCAGAAACCAUUUACGUCCGAGCGUUCGAGGACCGCAUGGAUCUACUUCGGGUGGUGAUGGUGGGCGCAAGUGGGACACCAUACCAUCACGGCCUCUUCUUCUUCGAUUUGCAGCUACCUCCAUCGUACCCGGAUGCCCCACCGCAAGUGUACUACCACUCCUUUGGCCUACGCCUCAAUCCCAACCUCUAUGAGUGUGGUACAGUGUGCCUCAGCCUGCUAAACACAUUCGGUGGCGAGGACACUGAGGUAUGGUCGCCGGCAACUUCAAGCCUGCUCCAAGUCGUUGUCUCCAUCCAGGGCCUCGUCCUUAACGACCAACCAUACUACAAUGAGGCCGGCUAUGAGACAUUGGUUGGCAAACCAGAGGGCCACCGCAAUGCGCUGCCCUACAAUGAGAAUGCUUACCUACUAACCCUCCGGACUAUGCAACACCUUCUAUGUCGGCCACCUCGGGGAUUUGAGGAAUUCGUCAAGGAACACUUCCGCCGUCGGGGAAGGUUUGUGCUCAGGACAUGCAACGCGUGGCUGCAGGAAAAUGUUGUCGACGAUGCCGAUACCACUGAAGCGACUAGGAAGCACCCGUGCUCCACUGGGUUAAGGCUUGCACUCACCAACGUGGCGCCGAGCCUCGUGGCAGCCUUCGCAAAGCUCGGCGUCGAGGGGUGUGAAGAGUUCCAUUAG